RNAcentral lists this ribosomal RNA (253 nucleotides) under uncultured Acidobacteriota bacterium. Its description in RNAcentral is "uncultured Acidobacteria bacterium partial 16S ribosomal RNA". It matches the Rfam family "Bacterial small subunit ribosomal RNA", at positions 524 to 776 of the family's 1533-position model. Lineage: Bacteria; Pseudomonadati; Acidobacteriota. The record is from RNAcentral.
UACAGAGGGGGCAAGCGUUGUUCGGAAUUACUGGGCGUAAAGGGCGCGUAGGCGGCCGACUAAGUCAGACGUGAAAUCCCCCGGCUCAACCUGGGAACUGCGUCUGAUACUGAUCAGCUUGAAUCCGGGAGAGGGAUGUGGAAUUCCAGGUGUAGCGGUGAAAUGCGUAGAUAUCUGGAGGAACACCGGUGGCGAAGGCGGCAUCCUGGACCGGUAUUGACGCUGAUGCGCGAAAGCCAGGGGAGCAAACGGG